This 260-nucleotide long non-coding RNA is filed under the name Theobroma cacao (cacao). RNAcentral's name for it is "long non-coding RNA (TCAC_LNC002200)". The record is from RNAcentral. Lineage: Eukaryota; Viridiplantae; Streptophyta; Magnoliopsida; Malvales; Malvaceae.
CAGAAUUUCCUUAAGCACCUCACAUUCACCCAACAGUCACAGGCUGCAACUUGUAUUUAAAACCUGGAAUCUUGGCAAAAACUAGUGGAAACAAAAUGGGGAGGGGAGAGAAGGUGUCAGAAGAGACAAUUUAAGUGCUGUUGUUUUCAAAAAUUUGAUCGGCGCCAUGUGAUACUAGACCGUUGGCAGGAUUGUUUAAGGGAAUUUGAGUUUUGUGCAACUUGGAAAGGGAAAAAAAUGGAAGAAUAGGUUAAACAAAU